AAUAAUUUAAUUAUUUUGAAAAGAAUGAAAAAACCGGAGGGAGUAUUAAUUAAAAUAAGGUUGAUUGCUUGAAAGUGAGGUAUUUUCUCGAAAGUAUGCGAGUCCAUGUGUAAUGUGCCAUAAAAUUUCUGUAUCGAACGAAAGUAGGUAAGGAGUAGCCAUCACGUGUUCAAUAAAAAAGCAAAAGACCCACUCACAGUUGUUACAUGUAUCCAUCGCUCUUUACUAAGAAAAGGAAAAUGAAAAUUAUGUUUGUACUUUGUAUGAAAACGCAUCUUUCUCAUAUCCAAAAUGAUUUUUUAAGUUUUAUAUUUUAAAAUACAUCUUCCCCCCCCCCCGCCCGCACCCCAAAAAAAAAAAACUGCUAAAGACGUGGAAAAACAGAAAAUAAACAUUGGUGCACUGGCUUGGAUCCUUCCAUAUUGAACAAGAUUGCCAAAAACAAAAAAAGAGGAAACAUUUUCUUUUGUAUUUCCUGCUGUCACACACUCGUAUAGCAUAUCUGUUAGAACAUGUAAGGCGAAAGCAAUAAUUGAUCAGAAUCAACAACUUACCUAAAAAAAUUAGAUAACAUAAGUAAAUACAGGUUUCAACAAAACUAUUAACCUUUUGAAGCUUUUACAAAUAGUCGUCCAAAACAAUGCUCCCCAGGACUGUGAUCUUGUGCUAAUUUCUUAUUUACUUUUGUAAUCAAACUUGUGUAGGCAAGUGAUUUUGUACUUCAAAGAAGGAUCCCAUUCUUUCUGUAAACUCACUUCUAUUUAUCUCAAUCUUCCAUUCAAGAAGGAAAGGGAAGAGACAGAUGUUUCAGCCUCACUAUUAGAAAUUACCCCUAUUACAAUGGACUUUUUGGCAACGGUUCUAAAAGUGUUGCAAUAAACCAUUUAUUUCAACGGUUGUAACCGUUGCAAAAAAAAAGAAUUUUGGUAGAACUUUUUGUGGUAUAACCGUUGCUGUUGUUGAAGAACCG
RNAcentral lists this long non-coding RNA (970 nucleotides) under Capsicum annuum. RNAcentral describes it as "long non-coding RNA (CANN_LNC010234)". Lineage: Eukaryota; Viridiplantae; Streptophyta; Magnoliopsida; Solanales; Solanaceae. The record is from RNAcentral.